This 427-nucleotide ribosomal RNA is filed under the name uncultured bacterium. RNAcentral describes it as "partial 16S ribosomal RNA". It matches the Rfam family "Bacterial small subunit ribosomal RNA", at positions 354 to 796 of the family's 1533-position model. The record is from RNAcentral.
GUGGGGAAUAUUGCACAAUGGGCGAAAGCCUGAUGCAGCAACGCCGCGUGAAGGAUGAAGGCCUUUGGGUCGUAAACUUCUGUCCUUGGGGAAGAAAAAAAUGACGGUACCCCUGGAGGAAGUCCCGGCUAACUACGUGCCAGCAGCCGCGGUAAUACGUAGGGGGCGAGCGUUAUCCGGAAUUAUGGGGCGUAAAGAGUACGUAGGUGGUUUUUUAAGCGCAGGGUUUAAGGCGAUGGCUCAACUGUCGUUCGCCCUGUGAACUGGAAGACUUGAGUACAGGAGAGGAAAGCGGAAUUCCUAGUGUAGCGGUGAAAUGCAUAGAUAUUAGGAGGAACACCAGUGGCGAAGGCGGCUUUCUGGACUGUAACUGACACUGAGGUACGAAAGCGUGGGGAGCAAACAGGAUUAGAUACCCCGGUAGUCC